RNAcentral lists this ribosomal RNA (198 nucleotides) under Ligilactobacillus ruminis. RNAcentral's name for it is "partial 23S ribosomal RNA". It matches the Rfam family "Bacterial large subunit ribosomal RNA", at positions 2733 to 2925 of the family's 2925-position model. Lineage: Bacteria; Bacillati; Bacillota; Bacilli; Lactobacillales; Lactobacillaceae. The record is from RNAcentral.
CGGCAUAGCUGGGUAGCUAUGUAUGGACGGGAUAAGUGCUGAAAGCAUCUAAGCAUGAAGCCCCCCUCAAGAUGAGAUUUCCCAACUUCGGUUAUAAGAUCCCUCGAAGAUGACGAGGUUAAUAGGUUCGAGGUGGAAGCGUGGUGACACGUGGAGCUGACGAAUACUAAUCGAUCGAAGACUUAAUCAAUUUUUAAA